RNAcentral lists this unclassified non-coding RNA (858 nucleotides) under uncultured Prochlorococcus sp. RNAcentral's name for it is "partial 16S-23S ribosomal RNA intergenic spacer; may also contain 16S ribosomal RNA and 23S ribosomal RNA". The stretch from base 348 to 420 matches the Rfam family "tRNA". Lineage: Bacteria; Bacillati; Cyanobacteriota; Cyanophyceae; Synechococcales; Prochlorococcaceae. The record is from RNAcentral.
UUGUGGAGGAGGACGCCGAAGGUGGGGCUGAUGACUGGGGUGAAGUCGUACAAGGUAGCCGUACCGGAAGGUGCGGCUGGAUCACCUCCUAACAGGGAGACAAACACUGAUUAAUGAUGUCUGAAUAAUCUAUUUUCAGGCCUUAAUCCUGUCACCUUAGGUCGAUCGGUAUCUCAGUUUGAUAUCCAAAAUAAAUAAAUUAUUUUGGAAGUUUGAAUUCAGUUCCUAAACUUUGUCUAGUUCACACCCAGCAAUGGUACUCCUGGGCCAUUAGCUCAGGUGGUUAGAGCGCACCCCUGAUAAGGGUGAGGUCCCUGGUUCAAGUCCAGGAUGGCCCAUUCGGUGUUGGGGGUAUAGCUCAGUUGGUAGAGCGCCUGCUUUGCAAGCAGGAUGUCAGCGGUUCGAGUCCGCUUACCUCCACUGAUCCAUCUCCUUAUAACGAAGUUGAAGGAGCUUUUGCUCGAUGUGAUCUAGAUUCGUUCUGAUUGAAUGAACCUAGCUUCUUGUCAAUAAGACCAAGUAUUUUCUUUGUUUUACUUGAUAGGACGCUGGGCUCACUGCAAUGAAUAUUGCAGAGUUCCUCAGUAGAACCUUGACAACUGCAUAGUGAGUCUGGAAAAAAUAAAGCAUCUCAUGGAUGCAUUAUUUGAGAGAUAAUCAAAUUCUAAUUAAUUAGAAUUUGAUUAGAAAUUCAAUGAUAAUGCUAAUUCUUGAGCAAGAGCCGAGACUCUAUAAUUUCUUUCAUUGAACUAGAUUUAAUGAGAGUUAGAUAUUUAAUUUCUCACUUUAUUGGGUGAUUUAAUUAAAUAGAAAGUGUUUUAAUCGCUGAAAUUAUAGAGAUUAAUGGUCAAGCUACAA